RNAcentral lists this ribosomal RNA (301 nucleotides) under uncultured bacterium. Its description in RNAcentral is "partial 16S ribosomal RNA". It matches the Rfam family "Bacterial small subunit ribosomal RNA", at positions 509 to 807 of the family's 1533-position model. The record is from RNAcentral.
CAGCAGCCGCGGUAAUACAGAGGGUGCAAGCGUUAAUCGGAGUUACUGGGCGUAAAGGGCGCGUAGGCGGUUAUAUAAGUGAGAAGUGAAAUCCCUGGGCUUAACCUAGGAACUGCAUCUUAUACUGUAUGGCUAGAGUAUUGUAGAGGGUAGUGGAAUUUCCGGUGUAGCGGUGAAAUGCGUAGAGAUCGGAAGGAACACCAGUGGCGAAGGCGGCUACCUGGACAAAUACUGACGCUGAGGCGCGAAAGCGUGGGGAGCAAACAGGAUUAGAUACCCCCGUAGUCCCUGUCUCUUAUAC